RNAcentral lists this small RNA (29 nucleotides) under Bombyx mori (domestic silkworm). RNAcentral's name for it is "ovarian small RNA-18840". Lineage: Eukaryota; Metazoa; Arthropoda; Insecta; Lepidoptera; Bombycidae. The record is from RNAcentral.
UAACGGAGUCGACGUUAAUGCUGUCGUAA